This 402-nucleotide ribosomal RNA is filed under the name uncultured Glomus. Its description in RNAcentral is "SSU rRNA". It matches the Rfam family "Eukaryotic small subunit ribosomal RNA", at positions 569 to 975 of the family's 1831-position model. The record is from RNAcentral. Lineage: Eukaryota; Fungi; Glomeromycota; Glomeromycetes; Glomerales; Glomeraceae.
AGCAGCCGCGGUAAUUCCAGCUCCAAUAGCGUAUAUUAAAGUUGUUGCAGUUAAAAAGCUCGUAGUUGAAUUUCGAGAUCAAAUUGUUGGUCGUGCCUCGGUACGUACUGGCAUUAUUGAUUUCUCCUUUCUGAAGAACCAUGAUGUCAUUAAUUUGGUGUCUUGGGGAAUCAGGACCGUUACUUUGAAAAAAAUUAGAGUGUUUAAAGCAGGCUCACGCUUGAAUACAUUAGCAUGGAAUAAUGAAAUAGGACGUUUGAUUCUAUUUUGUUGGUUUCUAGGAUCGACGUAAUGAUUAAUAGGGAUAGUUGGGGGCAUUAGUAUUCAAUUGUUAGAGGUGAAAUUCUUGGAUUUAUUGAAGACUAACUACUGCGAAAGCAUUUGCCAAGGAUGUUUUCAUUA